UUAGGUUUUCUGGUGCAAACGUGUAACAACUCUGCGUGUUUCAAAAGAGGAAAAGAGCUGCCAAUGCAAUUUUGAGCAAAAUCUGUUUCUUUGCCCUUGGAAUAACAAUAAAAUGGCUGAUGUUUAUAAACUAUUCCUUGGAAAAUUCUGUUGUGUUAGAGAUUAAAUUGCAAACUGUGUGAGUAAUAUUUUGUGAAUACCAAAUACCCCUGUGGGCUACUUAAGGAAAGCUAGUCAGCAAUUCAAGAAAUGCAUUAUUUUGACAUAGAAGAUCCAUUGGUAGGAAUGCCAAAGAGGUAAAUACCUACCAAAUGCAUUUGUUUCAUCAUAUAGCUAUGGAAUUUCUCUUGAUUAAAAUGGAAGGGUUAAAUCACUAGCCUUGAAAAGUGAUUAGAAUGUAGAAUGAAGAAGAAUUUAGGUAGAAAAUUAUGAAAAGAUGUUAUUUCAAUUAUCUCUUCUGAAAUCUUUGUACAUUUCCCUAUUUAAUAUUUUCCAGUUUUCAAAGCUACUUUUUUUCCUGGAAUGAGUUGACUUGACUGCAUACCUCUGAUGAACCUAUAUAGCUCCCACUGAUAUAAUAGAAAGUCACAAACAUCCAAGUCCACAUUCAUCAUUUAGACUGUCCUCUUCAUUUCCUCAUUUCAUUUAUGUGGCACUCUUACCACCUGGAUUUUGUAUGGUUACAGAGUGUAUAGAAGUACCUGGAUUAUUAAAGAUUUCCACAUGCCAAAGACCUUACUGAUGAUAAUAACAACUGAACUCCUGGGCACAUUUGAAUCUGUAACGUGGAGCUGGGGACUGGAGACUCAGGAAGCCACACAGAGCAGAGCAGGACAGAGCGGAACAAGCAAAUGAACCAAAUAGGCAGCUCCAGUCUUGCAAAGGAAAGCUGCAACUUCACAGGCAAUUUAGCUAGUACAAUUUAUUUUAAUUUAUUACAGUAAACUACAUAUUAGCAAACAUUAACAAAUCAGGGGCAGAUUUAUGGCAGAGAAGGCUACUGUGCUAAUGAGUGGCCCCUUCAUUAGCAUUGCCUGGAGCAGCAUAUGCUCUCUCUCAGCCUAUCCUUACCACAUUUUCCCAUUACCGUAACAGCAGAAACAAACCUUUCAUAUCCUGUAAUCUCUGACCAGGAGGAACCUUGUUUGGGAGCUGACGAUUUAAGCUGAAAGACAGUUAUUUGUAUGAACUACAACUCCAGCUGGUUUUAUGUGGACAGGCAUGGGAGUUACGGGGUACUGGGCGCCUCUCAAAAUACUGGUCCCAUUUGUGAUGCUUGCUUCAGUGGAUGUACCUUUUUUGUGC
This 1305-nucleotide long non-coding RNA is filed under the name Anser brachyrhynchus (Pink-footed goose). RNAcentral's name for it is "lncRNA (ENSABRG00000004696.1)". The record is from RNAcentral. Lineage: Eukaryota; Metazoa; Chordata; Aves; Anseriformes; Anatidae.